This is a long non-coding RNA of Drosophila sulfurigaster albostrigata, 452 nucleotides long. RefSeq lists it as uncharacterized. The record is from RefSeq and is a predicted model, not a curated record. NCBI's taxonomy places the organism in Eukaryota, Metazoa, Arthropoda, Insecta, Diptera, Drosophilidae. The transcript is spliced from 2 exons.
CAUCUUGACACAUUGAUAAAUGGCAAAAAGUAUCGAAAAUACAAAAUACAAUAACUUAAGCGCUUUUAUUAAAUUACGCAUCGGUUGCACCUUGCAAAUGUCCAAUAAAUUAGGCGCUCUCUGUCAAGGUUAAGCCAUGUGCGUUACAUCUUUGCAGACCAAAAAUAGCUUUGCAGACUGUGUGAUAAGGGCAAAGUUCUUUUUGGCUACCCUUCGGCGCCCUAGAAAACGUUUGAAGGGCUUCGCUAAUUCUUUUGUGUCGUUGUGAAAACUUACGCUACGCUUUUUCUGUUUGCUGCUGUUUGUUUUUAAUUAAAUGCAAACAAACUUUCACACACUUUCUUUCACUUGGCCAGUGUCAAGGCCUUAGCAUACUUUUGUUGUUCCAAUCUAUAUUUAUCUAUUAUAUAUGAUUAUGCAAAUGUUUGUAUUUUAAAAUAGAUAUUUUUUCC